GGUCUUGUGGUCUAGUGGUAUGAUUGUAAGUAACAGUAUCAACUCAGCAUUCAUGGCUCCUACUUACCUUUGACCAGCUCGCUUAGGGUACUUCCUGAGCACACUUGCGAGAGGCCCCGCGUUCGAGUCGCGGCAAGACCC
Non-coding RNA from Dothidotthia symphoricarpi CBS 119687, 141 nucleotides. The record is from the annotation of a RefSeq genome assembly. Lineage: Eukaryota; Fungi; Ascomycota; Dothideomycetes; Pleosporales; Dothidotthiaceae.